This 69-nucleotide transfer RNA is filed under the name Myrmus lateralis. RNAcentral's name for it is "tRNA-Val". Lineage: Eukaryota; Metazoa; Arthropoda; Insecta; Hemiptera; Rhopalidae. The record is from RNAcentral.
CAAGUUAAAUCUUAGGGAUCUACGUUAUUUACAUUAACGUUGUGGUUUGUGCGAUUCGACCUAACUUGA